GACGAACGCUGGCGGCGUGCUUAACACAUGCAAGUCGAACGGAAAGGCCCUGCUUGCAGGGUACUCGAGUGGCGAACGGGUGAGUAACACGUGGGUGAUCUGCCCUGCACUUCGGGAUAAGCCUGGGAAACUGGGUCUAAUACCGGAUAGGAGCCAUUUUUAGUGUGAUGGUUGGAAAGUUUUUUCGGUGUAGGAUGAGCUCGCGGCCUAUCAGCUUGUUGGUGGGGUAAUGGCCUACCAAGGCGGCGACGGGUAGCCGGCCUGAGAGGGUGGACGGCCACAUUGGGACUGAGAUACUGCCCAGACUCCUACGGGAGGCAGCAGUGGGGAAUAUUGCACAAUGGGCGCAAGCCUGAUGCAGCGACGCCGCGUGGGGGAUGACGGCCUUCGGGUUGUAAACUCCUUUCGCUAGGGACGAAGCUUUUUGUGACGGUACCUAGAUAAGAAGCACCGGCUAACUACGUG
Molecule: ribosomal RNA, 465 nt
Filed under: uncultured bacterium
Lineage: Bacteria
Description: partial 16S ribosomal RNA
Rfam family: Bacterial small subunit ribosomal RNA
Source: RNAcentral